GAUGAAGAUCGCAGCGAAAUGCGAUAAGUAAUGUGAAUUGCAGAAUUCAGUGAAUCAUCGAAUCUUUGAACGCACCUUGCACCCUUUGGCAUUCCGAAGGGUAUGCUCGUUUGAGUGUCAUUGUACUCUCACACUCUCCGAUCCUAUGGAUUCGGGGAGCGGUGGACUUGGGUGUUGCUGCCUUUCCCUGUGGCUCACCUCAAAUGCGUCAGUGCACCUCUUGGUUGGACAUAGUACGGCGUGAUAAGUGUCUUCGCCGGCACCUCGCAAGAGGGUGGCCGAUCGGGAGCUCUGCGCUUUCAAACCGUCUUCGGACAAUUUCUGACAUCUUGACCUCAAAUCGAGUAGGACUACCCGCUGAACUUAAGCAUAUCAAUAAGCGGAGGA
This 387-nucleotide unclassified non-coding RNA is filed under the name soil metagenome. RNAcentral describes it as "partial contains 5.8S ribosomal RNA, internal transcribed spacer 2, and large subunit ribosomal RNA". The stretch from base 1 to 120 matches the Rfam family "5.8S ribosomal RNA", at positions 35 to 154 of the family's 154-position model. The record is from RNAcentral.